AGGACGAACGCUGGCGGCGUGCUUAACACAUGCAAGUCGAACGGUGAAGCCUUUCGGGGUGGAUCAGUGGCGAACGGGUGAGUAACACGUGAGUAAUCUGCCCUUGACUCUGGGAUAACUUCGGGAAACCGUGGCUAAUACCGGAUAUGACGCAUGGUCGCAUGGUCUGUGUGUGGAAAGAUUUAUUGGUCAGGGAUGAGCUCGCGGCCUAUCAGCUUGUUGGUGGGUAAUGGCCUACCAAGGCGACG
RNAcentral lists this ribosomal RNA (248 nucleotides) under uncultured bacterium. Its description in RNAcentral is "partial small subunit ribosomal RNA". It matches the Rfam family "Bacterial small subunit ribosomal RNA", at positions 26 to 278 of the family's 1533-position model. The record is from RNAcentral.